CAGGCUUAACACAUGCAAGUCGAGGGGCAGCAUUUCAGUUUGCUUGCAAACUGGAGAUGGCGACCGGCGCACGGGUGAGUAACACGUAUCCAACCUGCCGAUAACUCGGGGAUAGCCUUUCGAAAGAAAGAUUAAUACCCGAUGGUAUAAUCAGACCGCAUGGUCUUGUUAUUAAAGAAUUUCGGUUAUCGAUGGGGAUGCGUUCCAUUAGGCAGUUGGUGAGGUAACGGCUCACCAAACCUUCGAUGGAUAGGGGUUCUGAGAGGAAGGUCCCCCACAUUGGAACUGAGACACGGUCCAAACUCCUACGGGAGGCAGCAGUGAGGAAUAUUGGUCAAUGGGCGCAGGCCUGAACCAGCCAAGUAGCGUGAAGGAUGACUGCCCUAUGGGUUGUAAACUUCUUUUAUAUGGGAAUAAAGUUUUCCACGUGUGGAAUUUUGUAUGUACCAUAUGAAUAAGGAUCGGCUAACUCCGUGCCAGCAGCCGCGGUAAUACGGAGGAUCCGAGCGUUAUCCGGAUUUAUUGGGUUUAAAGGGAGCGUAGGUGGACAGUUAAGUCAGUUGUGAAAGUUUGCGGCUCAACCGUAAAAUUGCAGUUGAUACUGGCUGUCUUGAGUACAGUAGAGGUGGGCGGAAUUCGUGGUGUAGCGGUGAAAUGCUUAGAUAUCACGAAGAACUCCGAUUGCGAAGGCAGCUCACUGGACUGCAACUGACACUGAUGCUCGAAAGUGUGGGUAUCAAACAGGAUUAGAUACCCUGGUAGUCCACACAGUAAACGAUGAAUACUCGCUGUUUGCGAUAUACAGUAAGCGGCCAAGCGAAAGCAUUAAGUAUUCCACCUGGGGAGUACGCCGGCAACGGUGAAACUCAAAGGAAUUGACGGGGGCCCGCACAAGCGGAGGAACAUGUGGUUUAAUUCGAUGAUACGCGAGGAACCUUACCCGGGCUUAAAUUGCAUUUGAAUAUAUUGGAAACAGUAUAGCCGUAAGGCAAAUGUGAAGGUGCUGCAUGGUUGUCGUCAGCUCGUGCCGUGAGGUGUCGGCUUAAGUGCCAUAACGAGCGCAACCCUUAUCUUUAGUUACUAACAGGUCAUGCUGAGGACUCUAGAGAGACUGCCGUCGUAAGAUGUGAGGAAGGUGGGGAUGACGUCAAAUCAGCACGGCCCUUACGUCCGGGGCUACACACGUGUUACAAUGGGGGGUACAGAAGGCAGCUACCUGGUGACAGGAUGCUAAUCCCAAAAGCCUCUCUCAGUUCGGAUCGAAGUCUGCAACCCGACUUCGUGAAGCUGGAUUCGCUAGUAAUCGCGCAUCAGCCAUGGCGCGGUGAAUACGUUCCCGGGCCUUGUACACACCGCCCGUCAAGCCAUGAAAGCCGGGGGUACCUGAAGUACGUAACCGCAAGGAGCGUCCUAGGGUAAAACUGGU
RNAcentral lists this ribosomal RNA (1426 nucleotides) under uncultured organism. Its description in RNAcentral is "16S ribosomal RNA". It matches the Rfam family "Bacterial small subunit ribosomal RNA". The record is from RNAcentral.